GGAAGGGUGGCCGAGUGGUUUAAGGCGCCAGUCUUGAAAACUGGAGUACCGCAAGGUACCGUGAGUUCGAAUCUCACCCCCUCCG
Molecule: transfer RNA, 85 nt
Filed under: Deltaproteobacteria bacterium
Lineage: Bacteria; Pseudomonadati; Myxococcota; Myxococcia
Description: tRNA-Ser
Rfam family: tRNA
About the family: Transfer RNA (tRNA) molecules are approximately 80 nucleotides in length.
Source: RNAcentral